This 426-nucleotide ribosomal RNA is filed under the name uncultured bacterium. Its description in RNAcentral is "bacterial SSU rRNA". It matches the Rfam family "Bacterial small subunit ribosomal RNA", at positions 357 to 775 of the family's 1533-position model. The record is from RNAcentral.
GGGAAUUUUGGACAAUGGGCGAAAGCCUGAUCCAGCCAUUCCGCGUGCAGGAUGAAGGCCCUCGGGUUGUAAACUGCUUUUGUACAGAACGAAAAAGCUCUGGUUAAUACCUGGAGUCCAUGACGGUACUGUAAGAAUAAGCACCGGCUAACUACGUGCCAGCAGCCGCGGUAAUACGUAGGGUGCAAGCGUUAAUCGGAAUUACUGGGCGUAAAGCGUGCGCAGGCGGUGAUGUAAGACAGUUGUGAAAUCCCCGGGCUCAACCUGGGAACUGCAUCUGUGACUGCAUCGCUGGAGUGCGGCAGAGGGGGAUGGAAUUCCGCGUGUAGCAGUGAAAUGCGUAGAUAUGCGGAGGAACACCGAUGGCGAAGGCAAUCCCCUGGGCCUGCACUGACGCUCAUGCACGAAAGCGUGGGGAGCAAACAG